UGUCAUAAAUAGCUGUUAUUAUUUUGAGAUACUUUCCAUCAACACUGAAUUUAGUCAUGCAGUUUAAUAGGCAAGAAAGAAGGAAGAGCUCCCCAUACUGAGAUAGAGGGAGGGGGGUUCCAAAGCCGAAAGAGGAAACCCAGAGUGCUGUGGAUACCAAUGAGUUAUAUGAAGAAACUGGAAGCGGUGGUGUCUGAUUUGCAUAGGGUUCAGGGGAUUGGUUUGACCAGGCAUGUCAUUUAUGUAGCCCACGAAAAAACUGGCCCUCCCACCCUAUCCUUUGAAUAGGCACUUUCCAGGCACCCUGAUUUCCUAAACACAUGGGGAUAUGUGGGGAUGGCUAUAUUGCCAGGCACAGGUGGGGGCAAGGGCCAGAAAAGGGCGGGAAUCACUAUGUUUGGCUGGAUUCAGUUUCUAAUGGCCGGAAUUUGCAGAUCAAAGUUACCGGAGAACUCUAAAAGCCGGGCUUUCCUGCUAGACAAGACCCAUUUCUGGAGCUGCUUAAAAAGAAACAAAACUUCCUAUGGACCCCUUUUUCUCCCUGCCUGCCUAAAAUAACUUCUUAAGGACUCCUAUGACACCUGAAUUCAGCCCCCUUCCUGGGGGAAUGUACCAACGGAACUCCCACCUUUCCGGGUUUCUCAAGGCUGGAUUGUGUAAACCUCCUGGGUCUGAGUCUGUCUGAGCGACUGCUCUGCCAACACUCCACACAGCCCUGUGUACUAGACCCAAGGCCCCUGUGACGUCAGGUCAGGAGAGAAUCUCCAGAUUCCUUGCAAAGAUCCAUGGGAAAAACAUGGCUUCUGGGGCGGGGUCACACACUCACUGCUUCCCUUGGCUGUGUGAGAAAGUUCCUUUGGCUCUGUUCUGAUAUGGCAUGGUUCAUCACCCACCCCCGUUUUCUUUGUUCUCCUGAGUCAAGUUGUUUGCCUAGUCAGUCCCAAUGUGAGAACCUGAAUAUUUCAGUUCAGGCGCUUACGGUGAAAUUCGCUGCGAUUUUCAUUUGGGGGAAGGCAGCCGCUUCUUAUUGGCCAUCUUGGCCACCCCCUCCAUGGCACCGUCUGCAAAAAGACCACUUCUAAUUGGCCAUCUCGGCCACUUCCUCCACGUCACCUACAAAAUGGCCACUUCUAAUUGGCCAUCUUGGCCCCCCCCUUCCACCUCACCUUCUGUAAAAUGGCCCCACUCUCCAGGAAUGACGCCAUUAUAUAUCUUUACCUGAACCCAACAGAAGCUUAUUACACUUUUCAUGGGCUCAUUUACUUCACGUAUAAGGAAAAGGGCCAUGAAAGUGGUCGAUUUUCUGAUGGAUGUGAUAAAAAAAUGGUUUGCUGACCCAUUAGGGACAUAUGUCUCAAAACUAGUAACGAGACUCUCAAUCGCUGGGUUGACGCUUCUAAUCAAGAUGAUGCUCUCCUAUGUGUUCAACAAAACAGCUUCCCUUGCUUCUGAAACACUUCCAAACAUCAUCUUACAUUUCCUGAAGAAGAUGAUGCAUCGACCAGUGGCACAGGAUGAAGAGGGUGAUCCGGAAGAGUCUUUUGAACUACUUGGCUGCGGUGUUUAAACAACCACCAGGAAAUUUUGAUGACCGUUCUCUCCGGAGCUCCUGUCUUUCCCCAGAGAAACAAAAGCAUCGAAACUACAAAAAUAAAGUGUUAUUUGGCUGGAAUGAGGUCUCAUGGUUGUUUAUGCGGUGGCUCGCUGCUCAAGACAGGGAAAUAGAAGUCAUCAAGAUGAACAGAAAGCAGAUGUCAGCAGCCCUCAUAUAAAGUCAUCAUACUUCAUCCAGUUAAAACCUGAGACAGUUCUCACACAAGAAGGCCUAACUCAAAGAGACUGGGUUCUCAUGAGGCAGGUUCAUGCAAAACCAAGGGAAGCUUACAACUUUGGGAUUCUCCAGUUUCCCUUGGAAAAGACCUACAAUCAUUUGCUUAAGUAAAUGAGCACUGGACAAAGUCAAGAAGAUACUGGUAUGUGUACUAAGGAAAACAGCUUCAUUGACAUGCAACCUGUUGUACAUGAGGAAGCAUUCUAAAGAUGACAUACAUUUCUUCAAAAAGAUUAUGGGACACCAACCAAAACAAGAACCAUUGGAGAUGCUCGUUACUCUUUGAAGGCUUACAGCGGAAUGAAUUCAAAUACGACUUAUUUGAGGAAUUGAAGUUGACUUUAUGGAGCUGAUAAGAAUCUUCUUGGAAAAAAAAGAC
This is a long non-coding RNA of Rhinopithecus roxellana (golden snub-nosed monkey), 2210 nucleotides long. RefSeq lists it as uncharacterized. The record is from RefSeq and is a predicted model, not a curated record. NCBI's taxonomy places the organism in Eukaryota, Metazoa, Chordata, Mammalia, Primates, Cercopithecidae. The transcript has 5 exons.